Molecule: unclassified non-coding RNA, 234 nt
Filed under: plant metagenome
Description: partial contains small subunit ribosomal RNA, internal transcribed spacer 1, and 5.8S ribosomal RNA
Source: RNAcentral
UUUCCGUAGGUGAACCUGCGGAAGGAUCAUUACUGAGUGUGGGACCUCUGAGUCCAACCUCCCACCCGUGUUUAUUGUACCUUGUUGCUUCGGUGGGCCCGCCUCACGGCCGCCGGGGGGCAUCUGCCCCCGGGCCCGCGCUCGCCGAAGGCACCCUUGAACUCUGUCUGAAGUUCGCAGUCUGAGCGAAAACUAAAUAAGUUAAAACUUUCAACAACGGAUCUCUUGGUUCUG